GCGAUUAUUCGCUGGUGCGCGCAGUCGUGCGGCCGCCACUGACGGGGCGGGCGGAGGGGGGCGCCACCUCCGGGGAGACCGCCCAGAGCUGCGCCGUCAGCUCCACAGCCCGUGCCCGGCGCACAGGCAUCGCCGCGCCCUCGAGUCCCCCGCAGUAAAGUUCGGCUCAACUUUGCCGCCCUGUGCCUUCCACCUCUCUGCAGGUCCUCGGCGGCCGAGGCGAAGCAGGCGGCGGCGGAUAUCCGAGUGCAGUCCCGGAGCCCUGCGCGGCAGUCAGCGGCUACAGCGACAGUGGCAGAGGAACGCGCGAGUGGGCGCCGGAGGGGACCUGGCGAGCACCUAACCCGGAGCGCACCUCUCGGAAGGGCGGGUGGAUACGGGCCUCACAGGACGUCGGACCUCUGCCGCUUGAAUCGGAGCUCACGCUGCAAUUGAUUGGGCCCCGCCGGGCGGGCGCGUGUGUUCCAGGGAGCCGGUGCGGAAGGCAGAAGGGCAGGAAGUCGGCGUUCUGCAGCGAGGGUGGCGCGACCGCGCGGGGACCGAGCCUUCCUUAUUUAUGUGCCUGGCAGAGCCCGUCUGCUUCCUGCGAAGACUUCAGGGAGAGUGUCCGAGCUGCCAUCCCCAAGUGUGAGGACGCAGCGCUGGAUGUCAGAAAAACAUGCUUCUCCAUUAAACUCCAAACUUUUCUUUUUUUAAACCCAAAGAAUAUCGGUGGCUUUUGCCCACUGCUAGAAGAGGGAGCCCAGGGCUCUUGAGAUGCAACAGAACCCAUAUUUAUAACAGGACCCGGCAGUGCUAUGCAAACCUCCUCUACUCCUUAAGUUCUCUAGCCUAUGGAUCUCGAUUUUGAGUUUUGAGAUUAGAUUGAGCGCUCUGCACUGGGUCCUGCAACCUCCAUCCUUUCAAUGCCCUGUUAUUUUUGGGACUGCUGGCCUUCCCUGGAGAUUAGAGCGGUCCUGUGUGCCAUGGGCUGUAUUCAGAGCAUCGGAGGCAAAGCCAGAGUCUUCCGGGAAGGGAUUACCGUGAUUGAUGUGAAAGCCUCCAUCGACCCCAUCCCCACCAGCAUCGACGAGUCCUCCAGCGUGGUAUUGCGCUAUCGGACACCCCACUUCCGGGCCUCAGCCCAAGUGGUCAUGCCGCCCAUUCCCAAGAAGGAGACCUGGAUCGUUGGUUGGAUUCAGGCGUGCAGCCAUAUGGAGUUUUACAACCAGUACGGGGAGCAGGGCAUGUCUAGCUGGGAGCUCCCCGACCUCCAGGAAGGAAAGAUCGAGGCCAUCAGUGACUCUGAUGGGGUGAACUAUCCCUGGUACGGCAAUACCACGGAGACCUGCACGAUUGUGGGGCCCACCAAGAGGGACUCCAAGUUCAUCAUCAGCAUGAACGAUAACUUCUACCCCAGCGUCACGUGGGCCGUGCCCGUCAGUGAGAGCAACGUGGCCAAACUGACCAACAUCUACCGGGACCAGAGCUUCACCACGUGGCUGGUGGCCACCAACACCUCCACCAAUGAUAUGAUCAUCCUGCAGACCCUGCACUGGCGCAUGCAGCUGAGCAUCGAGGUGAAUCCCAACCGGCCCCUGGGCCAGCGCGCCAGGCUGCGGGAGCCCAUUGCCCAGGACCAGCCUAAAAUCCUUAGCAAGAAUGAGCCCAUCCCGCCCAGUGCCCUGGUCAAGCCCAACGCCAACGAUGCACAGGUCCUCAUGUGGAGACCCAAGUACGGGCAGCCACUGGUGGUGAUCCCGCCCAAGCACCGGUAACAGCCAGGCUGCUGCGAGUCUGUUGCUGUGGAGGGAUGCGCACAGGAGCUCACAGGAACUUGAGGGAAUGCUGACAUCAGCUCAGCUUCUCCAGCCACCGAAGCCCUGGACAGACCUGCAAGAAGUGCAGAGAGGAUCAACACACAAGCCUCGAGUUGGGCCUGGAGCCUUCAGUAGCAGGCAGCUGGAGACACCACCACAGAAAUGAGUUUUUAAGACCCUGGGCUGAGUGUCCAGGAACACCUAUUCUUCUGUGGGAGGAAAGAACACAGCUGUUUACCUCCUGUGCCCGAUCCAAACCCAGCGAAUCCACUGCUCGGGGUCCCAAAGCCUGAGGUCUGCUGGGACAAGGACCCGAAGGUGGGUGCGUUCUGACUGGCGAGGGUACCGAAGGAUGCAGUAUUGCCGCUGCUCCCGAACCUGGGUGCGGUGAGAAUGGGACAGGGUUGUCAUGGCCCUAGUCCUCAUGCUGCCCACACCUCACUCACUGUCACCUGUCUUGGAUGUACCACACAGGAGCUGUGGUGACAAGCUUGGACCGAGUCAACAGACUCAGAGGAAACCGGCUUCUAGCCCAGAGUAAGCCUUUACCGUGGCUCUGAGAAGGAAGACAUCAGAAACAUAGUGUGAGAUCCACCUGGGGACCUGAGUCCUUAGCACUGACUAACUCCAGGUCCCUGAGAGCAAACACACUUCCCGCUCUCCUCCUGGACACCCUCACUGAGAGCGACAUUCUCAUCUCUUCACCACCUGCGUGGCCUCAUCCCUGCCAGUCCCCCUCUGCCUUGGCGACUCUAUGUUGCCUAUGCUGGCCUCAAAUACUCCUCCUGCUUCAGCCUCCUGAGGGCUGGUUUCACAAGCUAGUGCUGUGGAGUCUGGUGAUUCCACUCCUUCUAUCCUUUGCUGGGAUGUGUGUCACCACACCUGGUUACAGUGCGAAGUGCAAGCUAAGGCUUCCUGAGGGCUCAGCACGCCUCCCACUGAGCUGCAUGCCCAGCUCUCCACUCACUUUUUAGUAAGACUACGUGUGUGUGAUGUGUGUGCGGAUGCUGGCAUGCGUGUGACAGAGUGUCAUGGUGGUCAGAGGACAACUGUAGAGAAUACAUUCUUUCCUUCCAUCAUGGUUUGAGGCAGCAGCUUUCACGGUGAGGUGAGUGCUUUUACUUACUAAGCCUAUCGGUGGCCUAUCUGCUUUAAUGACUUGGUUUACCAAGGGCCCCCUGCAUAUGAGAUAUGAAGAUAAGUCAUCAUGUUUCCCUUUCGUGUGUGUGUGAGGGGACACUUUACAAGUUAUUUCACGCAGAAUUGUGUUUCAUAAAAAUCAAUAAAUACACGAAGCAACGGAGAAAUUUUCUCUCUCCUGCUACCUCACCUAGAACAAUCCUCGUUCAAGGGUUCUCCUUCCAGAUUUGCUUGACCAAAUGGGGUUGAAGAUAUAACCUAAGACAUUUUGAGGGGUUCAGUGGGGGUCCCCAAGAGGUCAGGGAGAGAGGAGUUGGUGUUUCUUGGAAGGAGACAGGAUAGGCUAAAUGCCUAAGUUACAAAGGGAAGCCAGGCAGUCCAUGGCCUCAUACACCAGGGCCUCUCUGCACUGCUCCCAGGUGUCCAGCUGUCCCUGUGCUCCUACUCUAGGGCUGACCUGAGAUCUCUGUCAGGGUUAGGCUACCACCAGUGACCAGGCACACAAUUGUUUUCCCAGAGAUUGAAUGUCUGUGCUGGUACGUUUUACUAGCCCUAGAAAAUGUGCCAGUCAGUCAUGAUUACUAAGAUAUUCCGUUCUCUCCUCUAACCUCCCAUGCGUGUGGGUCAGCCUAAGUGACCUAGAUAUUAUAUAUAUAUAUUUAUUUAUUUUUUAGUUUUUCGAGACAGGAUUCCUCUGUGUAGCCCCCUGGCUGUCCUGGAACUCACUCUGUGGAUCAGGCUGGCCUCAAACUCAAGAGAUCCGCCUGCCUCUGCCUCCCAAGUGCUGGGGUUAAAGGCAUGCACCACCACUGCAUGACACCACCUUAUUUUUACAGACAGGGUUUCACUGAGACCUGGGGCUGAGACUCAGUGUCUGGCAAGCCUCCAAGACAUGCCUCCUCAGUAUGGGAACCCCAACCACAUGCUGUCCUGCUCAGCUUUUUAUGUGGGUGCUGGGAAUUGGACUCAGGUCUUUAUGCUUUCGUGGUAUUUAUUGACUGAACUAUCUUCCCAAUUCUAUUCAUUUUUUAAAGAUUUAUUUAUUCAUUUCAUAUAUGUGAGUACACUGUUGAUCUCCUCAGACACACCAGAAGAGGGUGUCAGAUCCCAUUACAGAUGGUUGUGAGCCACCAUGUUGUUGCUGGGCUUUGAACUCAGGGCCUCUGGAAGAGCAGUCAAUGCUCUUAACUGCUGAGCCAACUCUCCAGCCCCCCAGCUCUAUUUUAAAUUCUUUAUCAUUACUAUUUGGCACAGGGUCUUCCUAUGUAGCCUGUGCUAGCUUCAGAGUCUACAACCCUACUUCUUCAGCAUCCUCAAUAGGUGCCUGUUACCCAUGUGGAGAAACGCUAGCACUGUGAAUGUGGUGCUGGGGACUCACUUAGGAAUGGGAGGGCACCCAGUAAGUCCCUACCAUAGAGCUACACUUACAACCCUCAAGAGACUUCUCUGCUAGUAAAGCAAACAGCUGCUUUCAAGUAACUUAACAAAACCUUAAGAUUCACAGUGUAUACAGAUGGAGUCCAUCCAGAACUGUGUAAAACACAGGCUUAGAGCACUUCUCAACUCUCCCUUCUGGAAGUUCUCUUUAACUGUUGUUCUUGGAGUUUCCCCAAGGAUAAAUGACCAAGAUUCCUUAGCCUGUACAAGAAAUCUGAGGCGUGCCUGUCCUCUUGCAUGCUCUUCCUGAAUGCUCUAGCAUCCCUCUGUGGAGCCGAGUUUGUUAAGAAUGUGAUCUCUUUUCAGGAUAAAGCCGCUGCUGGCUCAUGUCCAACACCCAUGUUACUCUUCCCCUUCAGAUCCCUGUCCUGAGCUGAGCACUGAGGAUGAGUCCGUCUGGGUCUACUUUAGGCAUCAGUCUCUCCUUCAGAUGAGGGACUCUCUGUAGACUUCACCACAUAUAUAUAUAUACUUAGUUGAGACGGUACAGUGCCGCAAAGGCUACUUCUUGGGGUUCUGGCAAUGAGACUAAAAUUCUAGGGCCACUAGAAGAAACUCCCCCUUCUUUUUGGUAUUUUCAUCUUUAUUUAAUUUUUAUUUUAUAUAUGUUGUUGUUUUGCCUGCAUGUACAUCUGUAUGAGGGUAUCAGAUCUUGGAGCUACAGACAAUUGUGAGCUGCCAUGUGGGUGCUAGGAUUUGAACCUGAGUCCCCUGGAACAUUGGUCAGUGCUUUUAACUGCUGAGCCAUCUCUCUAGCCCCAGUCAUGGGAUUUUCUAAUGAGGAUGUGUGUAGGAUGUGUAUAGAGCAGCUGUUGACAGCCAAGAGAACAGCAGUCUUGAGUGGGGGUUAUCCCAUUGGUGUCCUAUGUUCUAGGAGUUGUUUGCUAAAGACCAACUGGCACCUCAAGAAAACAAUCCUAACUCUUUCUUCAGGACUUUCUAAUAUAAGGACCACCUGAGAAACAGACCUGGCUGCAGCUAAACCUGGUCCAGAGAACAGGUUAUUGAUGUCCUGCAUGCUGUGCACUGACAGCCAGCAAUGCUGUGGCCAAUGAUUUAAGAACCUGCUCACAAUGUGCCUUGUCCUGAGAAAAAGACAUCUAGCAACUUUUUUUGUCUACUUAAAGGCAAGGCCGCCAGGUCACUGUGUGGUUUAGAGAAUGUAAGAAUGACAGGCCCUGGUGCUUUGGGCUGGCACAAGUUUGUGGUUUUCCCAGGUCCCACCUGCAGCUUACCCGAAUCCGCCUGCGCUGGCAGCCGCAGUACCCUCUCCGAACACUUUGCCUCCCGUCGAGCCCAGAGGGCUUGUAAAGGCUGGGGCUGAACCGAAUGCUGGCACCCCUCCAAACCCAGGGGAUCCCCCAAAAGUAGGAGGGCUGCCAAACACUGGAGCAGCACCGAAGCCACCUGAGCAAAACAGAGGCAAACAGAACAGGGAGAAAGAAAAGGAGACAGGAAAGAAGGCAUCAAGCAGUCAGAAACCAAAUCAAAAGAGGAGAAAGGGAGAGAGGACGUCAGUAAUUCCAACACAAGAAGCCAAAAAGCACAAUACCCCAACCUCAAUCCCUCAGCCACACGGCUCCUCCCACUAGGAGCAGAGGGUCUGUGGCACUAAGAGAUCUGAGCACCCUAAUGCCUCCCUGAGGCAGGUGGAACCUAUCUCAAGUCCUGUUGAGAACAAACCACCUUAAACACAGCAGGUCCAUUGCAGGUUGCUUUCUAGCCCCAUGAUAUCUGUGACUCUUCAUAGAAACCCAUCCCCAAAGCUAGUGUCUCAACCAGCAGUGGCAGGGUGACAGGCUUUACUGUUUACUAAUACACACAGCAGGCUCCUAGUUUCAUGUCCAAAGGGCAUGGCUGGAGAAGUGACCCAAGCCCUUGGAGGAGCCCAGAAGAUCGUGAGUUGGAUCCCAGACAUUGGACGGUUGGAGAUUGAUUUUUGCUUUUGAUUGUGACUGUGCCCUGAUAUUUUCCCUCUUGAAGGAAGAAACUGUUUUAGUGAUGCCCACAGUUAAGAGACUUUUAAUUUAAAAAGACUUUGGAUUUUUAAAAGAGAUGGAUAUUUUAAAGAGAUUGAAAUUUUAAGAAUAUGUAAAGACUAACUAAACCCAGCUAAUAAAGUCGGAGGUUCAAAGCCCCUUCCCUGGCAGAACCCAUGAACUGGGUCACAACAGAAGCAGGGUGGUGCAGGCUGGCACCCAGCCACAUACCUUUUAUUUAUUUACAGGCAAGUGGCUGUGGGCCUAUCACCAAUGUCCCUGACUUGUGGCAUGACUAUAAAGCGCACUGACUCUCAUUUUGGAUGAAGGCUACAGUAUAAAUGUGACCAGGUGUUAAGAUGGCUGUGAGGAUGGCCUAAGCGCCCAGAUCAGGACUCUAGGCCAUUACAGGCAAGACGGAGACAACAGAACUGGGUCAGGUCCAGCACCAGGCAGCCUCCUGGGACUGUUCCUGAGGUAUCCCCAAACCUCCAAGAUUUGCUCUAGUUCUGAGGUUCAGAAGAGAAGGGUAGUGAGGGUAUGCUGAGCUCAGAUUAGAGGCAGGGUCAUUACUGCUGACAGCAAAUCUCCUGUUCAAGUGGCGGAUCUGCUUUAUCGUCCUCACACCCGCUCCUGCCACCGUGAUCAGAAGAUCAAAUGUAGGGCAUGAGAGCAGUCAGGCGAGCAGCGGCUGCUACUUGCAAUUGAAUUCUGUGUCUAUCGUUCACAGGGCUGCACAGCUGAGGAGACAUUGCCGUGGCUCGUGUUUGGGUUACUACUCUGUCUUUUAAAACCUUGAGUGAAAUUCCAGGCUGUGCUACGGAGACUGGUGGCUUACAAACAUAAACAGAAUGGAAAAAAAGUGCUAAAAAACCAUUGUCCUUUAAUUAUUUAAAUUGACCACAGAUCUAGUUGCACUUUCUUCCUAGACAUACAAGGUUACAUCUCGCACCUCGUAUUCAAUAUUGUUUAGACUUCUUGCUGGAAUGUGAGCAAAAAAAUGAGAGGUUUUAUGACCCAAGAAAUUAACCUGGAGAGGAGCUGGCAGGAGAGCCAGCAAACAGACAGGCAGGCACACGUGCAAAAGCAAAACAAACUUGGUGUGUAGCUAAAUGAGAGAAUGGCUGCUUUGGUGUUAGUUCUGGGGUCAGGCGACUCCCUCCAAUGAGAGAGCAGGAGCUCAGCUGCAGGCUGAGUGUCUGACUGAGCAACCAAGAAGCAGGUUUGCUGGCCAGACACUCCAGUCUCUGGGCUUCCAGGGGCGGUGGCAGCUGCAUCAAGGCAGCUCCCACCCUCUCCUGGCUGGCCUGGGCCCUUCCUCCAGUGGUGCCAAGCUCUCAGAUUACCUUCUCAUCUAACUGCAGCAUGGGUAGGUGGCAGAGCUGGGAUUGGAACCUCUCAUGGCCCUGUCAUGUGUCCUGCUUUCUAACUGACGAAGAAACGCCUGCAGACCCCGGGCUGGCUGGCUGUGAGGCCAUGGUGAGGUUCGUCUCCUGUCCCUUCUGUGGUGGCCUCCAAUAGCGUUAGCUCUGACACAGUGUUUUCUGAAGGGAGGAGGAACAGACACGAGUUUUCAAAGGCUCAUCCAAAGGCUCUGCCUGAAAUCGCUUUUACAGUGAGGGGCUGAUGCUGCUCCUUUGAGCUGGAAGUCUGACUGAUCCCCUCACAGGCUCCUGAGCGCACGUACUCCCACUGAGUGCACCCCAGCCUUCUGUCCAAGUCCUUCAAUCCACCUUCAGGACAGUGCUCACUGAGCGCGUGGGCAAGCUGAGUGCAGGGCAGACAUUCUCCUCUGUCUGCUCAGAUGCCUGGGUCCCUGUCAGUCCUCAUUCUAGAUGCUCACCAAAUAGAAAAGCCAGAAUUAGGAAAACAAAUGUCUAGGUGGGAGGUAUAUUUUUUCUAAGACAGAAAACACAUUCACCAGCUUCUCAAUUUAAGUCCACCAGGACAAUGUGGAACACAGAGCCACACCCCAGAACCCAGAACAGAAGAAGUAAAGGAAACAUCAGGUGCCUAAAAAGAUAGAAAGGCUCAGUGGUUAACAAUGUAACAUUUCUCAAGUGUUCAUGCUUAUUUGAUUUCCUUGUGUACAUGUCAUGAGCUGUGUGGGAGGCCACUGAUCAGGAGCCACCCAGUUUGUUUUUUAAGAAAGGUUGCACCCCCCUCCCCAAAAAAAGAAGCCGGGCGUGGUGGUGCACACCUUUAAUCCCAGCACUGGGGAGGCAGAGGCAGGCGGAUUUCUGAGUUCGAGGCCAGCCUGGUCUACAAAGUGAGUUCCAGGACAGCCAGUGCUAUACAGAGAAACCCUGCCUUGAAAAAGAAAAAAGAAAAAAAAAAAAAGAAAGGUUGCCAAGUGGCCAUGCUGACUGUCAGUACCACCAGCUCCAAACUUGUCCUUGUAUUAGAGCUAAAAGCUGUGUCCUUUUCAUUUUUUAAUUAUUCUGUAUGUAGCCCCCAAACGAAGUUGCAAUGCCUAUUUCUAGUACCUUUUACCAAAUUCUAAGGAAAAGAUGCUAAGAACUAGUAACCUAGGACUCAGUUGUCAAGCCAGGGUUUUAGAAAGAAACACAGCAUGAAUCUAAAAGCCACUGCACCUCAGGGUCACUUUCUAAUCUGGGUCAGCCACUCCAAGAUCAGCGUCACCUCCUCAGGCAGGGAACUAUUCAAAACAGGCCAUCCAUCCAAGGGCAAACAGUACUGCCCACUCCCGAGGAGGACAGAUUGCUAGAGGCUCGGCUCCCUUUCCAGAGGACCAUCCUGCCCCCUCCCAAAACCCUCACUCCAGUCUCCCACCAAUAAGACCAGCAUUGCAGGCAGUGACAGACUGCAGACAGGCAGGUGACAGAAUUUAACAAUGUGUUUCAUGGAGCAGGAGAGCUGGCUCAGCGGUUCAGAGCACUAACUGCUCUUCUGAAGGUCCUGAGUUCAAAUCCUACAACCACAUGGUGGCUCACAACCAUCUGUAAUGAGAUCUGACGCCCUCUUCUGGUGUGUCUGAAGAUAGCUAUGGUGUAUUUAUAAUAAUAAAUAAAUCUUUGGGCCAGAACAAGAGGGGCCGCCCAGAGCGAGCAGAGGUCCUAAAUUCAAUUCCCAGCAACCACAUGAUGGCUCACAACCAUCUGUAUAGCUACAGUGUACUCAUAUACAUAAAAUAAAAUAAAUAAACUUAAAAAAAGAAAAACAACGGCUGCUCUUUCAGGACCUAGGUUCGAUUCCCACACCCAUGUAGCAGCUCACAACUAUCUGUAACUCCAUUUCCAAGGUAUCCAGCUCCAUGUUCUGACCUCCAUGAACACCAGGAUCCACACGGUUCACAGAUACACAUGAAGGCAAACAUUCCCACACAUAAAAUAAACAAACAUAUAACACAUUUCAUAAUAAUGCACCUUUUAGGACCUUUAAUGAAAAUGUAUAAAAAUUAUUUAAAAUUUUAUAGAUGUGUAUUUCUAGUAAAAGAUUAAAAAGGGUGGCCCAGACCCAUGAUCCCAGUGUCCAGGAGGUUGAGACAAAGUAUCAUGAAUUCAGGGCAGCUUUGCUUGUACAGGGAGAUACUACCUCAGAGAAAACACUCAGACAAACGCCUAAACCAAUGACUUGGGAUGGAAAGGCGGCCCAGGGACGAGGGCCUGAGCCUUCAGCACUGUGAGACGGACUCUGAGAAUAUUACAUUCUUUUAAGUGCUAUAUUACAUAUCUCCUCUUUAUAAAAGACAUUUGUUUUGUUUUGUUUUGUUUUUGCAGACAGGGUCUCAUUCAUGAGAUCAGGAUGUCCUCAAACUCAGAGAUCUGCCUGCCUUUGCCUCUGGAGAGCUGGGAUUAAAGGAGUAUGCCACCACAUCUGGUUUCUCUCUCUCUCUCUCCUCUUUUUAAAAUUUUUUUUUCAAAGAUUUAUUUUAUUUAUAUGAGUACACUGUAGUUGGGUUCAGACAUACUAGUAGAGGGUUACAGAUGGUUGUGAGCCACCAUGUGGUUGCUGGGAAUUGAAUUCAGGACCUCUGGAAGAACAGUCAGUGCUCUUAACCGCUGAGCCAUCUCUCCAGCCCAGUUUCUCUCUCUUUUUUUAAAAGCACGUCUUAUGUAUUAGAAAUGCAGUAGAUUCUCAAUAAAUAUAAAAAUACACUGGA
RNA transcript from Mus musculus (house mouse), 10478 nucleotides. It is a transcript of the gene named family with sequence similarity 78, member A, with no coding region annotated. The record is from RefSeq and is marked validated. The transcript has 4 exons. Lineage: Eukaryota; Metazoa; Chordata; Mammalia; Rodentia; Muridae.